Molecule: ribosomal RNA, 443 nt
Filed under: bacterium 10C29
Lineage: Bacteria
Description: bacterial SSU rRNA
Rfam family: Bacterial small subunit ribosomal RNA
Source: RNAcentral
UCAGGAUGAACGCUGGCGGCGUGCUUAACACAUGCAAGUCGAACGGAGAGCUCAUGACAGAGGAUUCGUCCAAUGGAAUGAGUUUCUUAGUGGCGGACGGGUGAGUAACGCGUGAGGAACCUGCCUUGGAGUGGGGAAUAACAGUCCGAAAGGACUGCUAAUACCGCAUGAUGCAGUUGGGCCGCAUGGCUCUGACUGCCAAAGAUUUAUCGCUCUGAGAUGGCCUCGCGUCUGAUUAGCUAGUUGGCGGGGUAACGGCCCACCAAGGCGACGAUCAGUAGCCGGACUGAGAGGUUGGCCGGCCACAUUGGGACUGAGACACGGCCCAGACUCUUACGGGAGGCAGCAGUGGGGAAUAUUGGGCAAUGGGCGCAAGCCUGACCCAGCAACGCCGCGUGAAGGAUGAAGGCUUUCGGGUUGUAAACUUCUUUUAUCAGGGACGA